AACGGUGAUUGUCCUGUCGCUGCUUCAGAUUACUGAAGGAGAGGAAAGUCCGGGCAACACAGGGUGCCAUGCUUCCUAACGGGAAGGGGUUUGUUUUGCAAAUCACAGAAAGUGCCACAGAAAAUAUACCGCUCACUUGUGAGUAAGGGUGAAAACGCGAGGUAAGAGCUCACGGCAGCAUACGGCGACGUGUGUUGCGGUAAACCUCAUGGGUUGAAAGAUCAAAUAAACCGGGGCUUGAGGGCGACCCGCCUAACCCGGAGGGUAGAUCGAUCGAGUUUUGCGGCAACGUAAAACCUAGAUAAAUGACAGGAGUUCACAGAACCCGGCUUACAGAUCACCGUUUUUU
Molecule: RNase P RNA, 349 nt
Filed under: Bacteroidales bacterium OttesenSCG-928-A14
Lineage: Bacteria; Pseudomonadati; Bacteroidota; Bacteroidia; Bacteroidales
Also listed under: 2 other names
Description: RNase P RNA component class A
Rfam family: Bacterial RNase P class A
About the family: Ribonuclease P (RNase P) is a ubiquitous endoribonuclease, found in archaea, bacteria and eukarya as well as chloroplasts and mitochondria. Its best characterised activity is the generation of mature 5'-ends of tRNAs by cleaving the 5'-leader elements of precursor-tRNAs.
Source: RNAcentral